AAGACAUUUUUCAAUAGAAACACAGCUGAAAGCUAUCACUAAAUUCUGUUGUUAGAACUUUAUGCUAUUCAGUAAAGUAACUAUCAACAAGGAUCAAACAAAAAUAUCUAUUUUGCCAUGUUUAUUACACUUGCAUUUUUACCAAUUACCAGCAAGGCCAAAUGAGUAUUAUUAGUCACAACGUUACCAAAUUAACAUCAUACUGGAAUAGUCAACCCUAAAAUAUACAGGUGAAAUUCAUCCUUAUAUUCAAAUCUCAAAUAAAACUACAUAAAAUGGCAAUAGUAAAGGACAAAUGUGCCAUUAGGAUACACUGAAGUAAAGUAAUUACAAAGCAGAAGGUACAGAACAAUUACUUUAAGAAAGCUCUAAAAUACAAAAUUUUUAAAUUUGUGAAUCUUUAUACCCAUUAGGAUGGCUGUUAUGAAAAAAAAAAAAUAGAAAACAACAAGAGUUCACAAAGACGUGGAGAAGCCAGAGCCUCUGUACACUGCAGGUAUUUUGAGACAGCCUUGCUAUGUAGUAUGGACUGGCUUUCAGUUUGCUACAGAGUCCAAGCUGGGCGUGAACUCCAAAUCCUCCUGCCUCAGCCUUCCAAAUGUUGAGAUUACAGGUAUAAACCACCACUCCCGGCUGUUCUUUCAAGUCAGGCACAGUGUAUACACCGCAACCCCAACGCUUGAGAGGCUAAUGACUGCAAGGCCAUCGUGGACUACGGAGCAAGAUCCUGUCUCACUCCGCUCCCCGCCUCCCAAAAAAGGAAGAGAAGAAAAACAGUAAUUUGAAACCAAGAAACUUGUGUGUCUGUCUGUCUGAGGACUGAAUCCAUGACCUUUACAUUGAGCCAUUUUUUACUUUUUGUUUUGAGACAGGGUCUUACUAAGUCACUAAGUUGCCCCCGCUGCAGUUAAACUUGCAGGAAUUAUAAGUUUAAAACCAUGAAACUCUUAGUAUACUGUAUCUGUCAAUUAGAAAUCUCUUUGCUAUUCUACCAUGAAUAGUAAAAAAAUUGAUUUUUGUAGCGACAGUCCAUAUUAAUGACAUCACCUCUGAGUAUAUAAUUAUGUUAAAGUUACAAAAAAAAGGAGAAACACCUAGUGAUUGAUAAAAUUAUACAAUUAAAUGUGAACUAUGGAUAUAAACCUAGAUUAAAGCUAUAUUUAAGUUGACUAUGUCAAGUGGUUUACUUUAAAUGAAUCUCUGCUGCAGCUAUAUCCUAAUUAUAUAGCAAGGUAAACCACAUACCUCCAAAAUUAAUAAAGUAUCAAGAAACGCUUAGGAUAUAUCCAUUUCAAAACUAACUAUAAGCUUAUUUGAGAUACUUACCAUAAUAGAAAUUUUAACACAUGAUCAAUGAAAUCCUCCUUAUAAGUAUUAGCAAUUUCCAAAAUAAACCUUUAAAGAAUUUUUACUAAAGUAUACCAUAGAACCAUAAUGUCAAAUGUAUAGCUCCAUGUUAGCAAAAGAAACACACAUGUGUAUUACACUAAAACUAAGACACAGUACUUUUAUCAGCAUCUCAAAAGUUCCCUCCCAGUCUUUACUGACUGGAUUCUCAACAACUGUAACUGCUCUACUACUGUGCUAAGUGUAAAGACUCUGCUAACUUUACAUAAAAAAAAUAUAUGGCAUGUACUCUUGUAUCUGGAUUUUAAAACUUUUUUUUUUGCUCAACAUAUGUCUAUGGAAUUUAUUCAUAUUGUUUUAAGUACCAGUGGUUUGUUGUUGGUUUUGUUGGUAUAUAGCACUCAUCUAUGGAAACUCAUACAGUUUAUUUAUUCUAUUACUGAGGGGUACCUGGAAUGUUGUCAGCUUUCAGGCAUUAUAAAAAAUAGCACAGUA
Molecule: long non-coding RNA, 1842 nt
Organism: Cavia porcellus (domestic guinea pig)
Lineage: Eukaryota; Metazoa; Chordata; Mammalia; Rodentia; Caviidae
Exons: 2
Source: RefSeq, a predicted model, not a curated record